UAGUGAUUUGAGUUUGAUCAUGGCUCAGGAUGAACGCUGGCGGUAUGCUUAACACAUGCAAGUCGAACGGAAUCCUUAGGGAUUUAGUGGCGGACGGGUGAGUAACGCGUGAGAAUCUGCCUUCAGGUCUGGGACAACCACUGGAAACGGUGGCUAAAACCGGAUGUGCAGCAAUGUGAAAUAUUUAUAGCCUGGAGAUGAGCUCGCGUCUGAUUAGCUAGUAGGUGUGGUAAGAGCGCACCUAGGCGACGAUCAGUAGCUGGUCUGAGAGGAUGAUCAGCCACACUGGGACUGAGACACGGCCCAGACUCCUACGGGAGGCAGCAGUGGGGAAUUUUCCGCAAUGGGCGAAAGCCUGACGGAGCAAUACCGCGUGAGGGAGGAAGGCUCUUGGGUUGUAAACCUCUUUUCUCAAGGAAGAACACAAUGACGGUACUUGAGGAAUAAGCAUCGGCUAACUCCGUGCCAGCAGCCGCGGUAAUACGGAGGAUGCAAGCGUUAUCCGGAAUGAUUGGGCGUAAAGCGUCCGCAGGUGAAUCGAAUU
Molecule: ribosomal RNA, 544 nt
Filed under: uncultured bacterium
Lineage: Bacteria
Description: bacterial SSU rRNA
Rfam family: Bacterial small subunit ribosomal RNA
Source: RNAcentral